RNAcentral lists this ribosomal RNA (253 nucleotides) under uncultured bacterium. RNAcentral describes it as "partial 16S ribosomal RNA". It matches the Rfam family "Bacterial small subunit ribosomal RNA", at positions 524 to 776 of the family's 1533-position model. The record is from RNAcentral.
UACGGAGGGUGCAAGCGUUGUUCGGAUUUAUUGGGCGUAAAGGGCGUGUAGGCGGUUUGUUAAGUCUGAUGUGAAAGCCCUGGGCUCAACCCGGGAAGGGCAUUGGAAACUGGCAGACUUGAGUACGGGAGAGGGCAGUGGAAUUCCUAGUGUAGGAGUGAAAUCCGUAGAUAUUAGGAGGAACACCGGUGGCGAAGGCGGCUGCCUGGACCGAUACUGACGCUGAGACGCGAAAGCGUGGGGAGCAAACAGG